Molecule: long non-coding RNA, 422 nt
Filed under: Mytilus galloprovincialis (Mediterranean mussel)
Lineage: Eukaryota; Metazoa; Mollusca; Bivalvia; Mytilida; Mytilidae
Source: RNAcentral
ACGGUUAAGUCCUUACCUGGUUAGUAAGAUAUAUUGUUUUUGAUAAAAUGUAGAAUAUAAUAAAGUCAACUAUUUACUAGCGUUCAAAUCCCAAAAGUGCACUCCCCAAAACCCUAGAGCUUACGUAUUUCUAUCCCCAAAAUGACGUCAUAGGCCCGGCCGGGCUACCGGGACACCGGAAGUGGCCCGGCGGGGGAAAACAAAAUGGCCGGAUCUACAAGAGUAAAUAAUAAAACGGAGAUAGAAUAAAAGAAAAGAAAGUUAACCAAACCCCUGAAAUAUUUAAGGACUAACAGUAAAGUGACUACCGUCACACUCCCUCCCUCUUAAGACCUAAUGUGCCGAAACACAUUAGUCCAAAGUGGCAAGAAUAUAACCUAAAAUAUAUAAUUUAAAAACAUACACAAGUGAUUAACAAUAUG